AACGCACAUUGCACUGCCUCGGCAGUAUGCCUGUUUGAGUAUCAGCAAACACCUCCCACACUCACUGGGGACUUGGCCUGUAGUCUAUUCGACUUCGGCCGAAAUGAAGUCAGAGGGCCACGGUAUCGUGCCACGACAGAGCUAGUCUGCUUCAGACGCACCUGUCCACGGCCGCGCUGUGUGCUUUACCUCUGUACCAAUACUCAUAACACUCAUGAUCUCAAAUCAGGCAAGAGUACCCGCUGAACUUAA
Molecule: unclassified non-coding RNA, 252 nt
Filed under: uncultured fungus
Lineage: Eukaryota; Fungi
Description: partial contains 5.8S rRNA and ITS2
Source: RNAcentral